CUCAUGGAGAGUUUGAUCCUGGCUUAGGAUGAACUCUGGCGGCAUGCUUAACACAUGCAAGUCGGACGGGAAGUGGUGUUUCCAGUGGAAGACGGGUGAGUAACGUGUAAGAACCUGCCCUUGGGAGGGGAACAAUAGUUGGAAAUGGCUGCUAAUACCCCAUAUACUGAGGAGAAAAAGGAGGAAUCCAGCCAAGGAGGGGCUCGCAUUUGAUUAGUUAGUUGGUGAGGCAAUGGCUUACCAAGGCGACGAUUAGUAGCUGGUCCGAGAGGAUGAUCAGCUACACUGGGACUGAGACACGUCCUAGACUCCUACAAGAGGCAGCAGUGGGGAAUUUUUCGCAAUGGGCGAAAGCCUGACGGAGCAAUGCCACAUGAAGGAAGAAGGCCCACGGGUCAUGAACUUGUUUUCUCAGAGAAGAAACAAUGACGGUAUCUGAGGAAUAAGCAUUGGCUAACUCUGUGCCAGCAGCUGCGGUAAGACAGAGGAUGCAAGCGUUAUCCGGAAUGAUUGGGCGUAAAGCGUCUGUAGGUGGAUUUUCAAGUCUGUCGUCAAAUCCCAGGGCUCAACCCUGGAUAGGCGGUGGAAAAUACCAAGAUGGAGUAUGGUAGGGGCAGAGGGAAUUUCCGGUGGAGCAGUGAAAUGCGUUGAGAUCGGAAAGAACACCAACGGCGAAAGCACUCUGCUGGGCUCACACUGACACUGAGAGACGAAAGCUAGGGGAGAAAAUGGGAUUAGAUACCCCAGUAGUCCUAGCCGUAAAUGAUGGAUACUAAGUAUUGUGCGUAUCGACCCGCGCAGUGCUGUAGCUAACGCGUUAAGUAUCCCGCCU
Picea glauca (white spruce) is the source of this 832-nucleotide non-coding RNA. The record is from Rfam. NCBI's taxonomy places the organism in Eukaryota, Viridiplantae, Streptophyta, Pinopsida, Pinales, Pinaceae.